GGGGAAGCCUUUCAGGACAAAAGUGAGGUAGCCAGGAGUGCUUAUGCAAGGCUGAGGAAAGAGGCUUCAUUUGGAGACACUGUGAUUUAGCUUCUCACUUGCUGUUCUGCUCUACAUCCCUAUUUCUGUCUCAUAAUUCCCCUACUUCAACUUCACUUCCAUGCCUUAGUCACGUCACUACCAGUAUCUACACCCCCUCCAUUAUCCCAGUUUCAGUGUUCAACCUACUCCUUCCAGUACUGUGACUCAGAACAGUCCUUUGAGCUCACCAGUACUUUAGUUGGAUGGUCUCCCCACUUGUUAUUUGCAUUCAACCCUCAGGUCCUUGGUUCAUUCAUUUAUUAGUUUUGAGUCUGGGUCAUAUCCAUUUCCCCUCUUCCUUAUUCAUACUUUGCAAAACGUAGUCCUAGUGAAGUCCUGCACUCUCUGGCUGGGUAUGGUACAGAUCAACACAGCCACCCUGACAGAGGUCACUGAAGCCAUGACCACGUGUGGGCCCUUGGUGCCCAGUAUCAGUUGUCCAUCUCCCAAUUCUAGCCUAGAGUCUAUAGCUGUUUCAUACUUCCUUGCUCUCCUCAGCCCUCCCACACCUGAGCCCCCAUUUCCUAAUGUGGCCUUUUUGCUGAUUCCACUCAGGAUAAUGAGGCACUUAGAAGUCUUUCCCCUCUGCUUGUGCCCCAUGGCUUCCUUUUGGUAUCACGGACAUCCCUGAUUAUGCUCCUGGCUGAGGCCAUCCCUGCAACAGGCAUGAGAUUCCAUGUUCAUUACCUUACUUCAUCUACUUUUUCUGUUGGUUAUUCCAUAGUAAGAGGGGAAAGAAAUCUCUUGGCCCUUUUCCUUCUCUUUGUUGGUUUGUUAUCUCACUAACAUUGAUGGGGCUGUUGGGAAGUCCCUGGACAACAAUGAGAAGCUGACUCUCCAAUGUGUAGCUUGUGUAGCUGACUUGCCCACUCCCUGAGCACUUGUUAUGCCCAAGCUUCUUACCUUGAUCACAACAUCAUCCUCAUUCAGGCCAAACCUUCGAUUCUCCUUAAGUUCUCUCUGUUGCAUACCUCUCAUCUGGUCUUAUUGGCUUUUCCUUCCUGAUAGAGAAUCUGAACAAGCCAUCUGUCACCUGGUCCAUCUGGAGAUGCCUACAGUCUCAUUGUCUGAGAGCAGCCAGAGUGAUGCCUUCAAGCUUUGGUUAGAUCAUGUCAUCCACUGCUUCAAACUUUCCAAAAGCUGCCAUCACUCAAUUCUCACACUGGCCUGUGAAGCCUUCUGGCAUCUGAUUCUGUUGCCUUUCCAUCCUCUUGUCCUGUUGCUGUCCCCUUUACUCAGAGCAGUGAGCCAAGUCCCUCUUUUGUGGCCUCCUUGCUAUUCAUCUGCUUCCCCAGGCAAACACUCCUCCUCCAUCUCCCUUCACCUUCCCACAGCACUGCCUUAGGAGACCUUUCCUGACUACCCAGUUUCCCUUCACUGCUCUAUUUAUUUAUAACAUUUGUAUAUAAUUCACUUAUUAGUUUGUUGCCACUGUUCUCAUUAGAUUAUGUAAAGAACAGGUAUCUUUGUGUCAUUUUGUAUCUCUAAGGCCCAGAAUAGCGCACUUAGAUACUCAACCUCAAUGGAUAUUUGAAUAUUAAAAAAGGAGUUACUGGUUUUCUUGGCAGGAGUAGUUCUUUG
This 1662-nucleotide long non-coding RNA is filed under the name Marmota monax (woodchuck). The record is from RNAcentral. Lineage: Eukaryota; Metazoa; Chordata; Mammalia; Rodentia; Sciuridae.